RNAcentral lists this ribosomal RNA (406 nucleotides) under uncultured bacterium. RNAcentral describes it as "partial 16S ribosomal RNA". It matches the Rfam family "Bacterial small subunit ribosomal RNA", at positions 30 to 526 of the family's 1533-position model. The record is from RNAcentral.
AUUGAACGCUGGCGGCAGGCCUAACACAUGCAAGUCGAACGAGUGGCGGACGGGUGAGUAAUGUCUGGGAAACUGCCUGAUGGAGGGGGAUAACUACUGGAAACUGUAGCUAAUACCGCAUACCAUCGGAUGUGCCCAGGUGGGAUUAGCUAGUUGGUGGGGUAAUGGCCUACCAAGGCGACGAUCCCUAGCUGGUCUGAGAGGAUGACCAGCCACACGGGAACUGAGACACGGCCCAGACUCCUACGGGAGGCAGCAGUGGGGAAUAUUGCACAAUGGGCGCAAGCCUGAUGCAGCCAUGCCGCGUGUAUGAAGAAGGCCUUCGGGUUGUAAAGUACUUUCAGCGGGGAGGCGUUAACCGCAGAAGAAGCACCGGCUAACUCCGUGCCAGCCGCCGCGGUAAUAC